RNAcentral lists this unclassified non-coding RNA (259 nucleotides) under Hevea brasiliensis (rubber tree). Lineage: Eukaryota; Viridiplantae; Streptophyta; Magnoliopsida; Malpighiales; Euphorbiaceae. The record is from RNAcentral.
ACCGCAGUGAAGAAGACUUGCUAAAAAGAAGCAGCUAAUUAAAUCUUUACAUUUAUAGAUCUGUUUGUGUAAGCAAAGCAACUGAAACACCAUUGAAAAAUACAGCAUGAGGGAACCUCAUGGAGAUGCAAUGUGAAAAUACACUCUCCGUCGAAGAGAAGAAGACUUACAGUCCCACAAACUCUGAAAAAGCUUUCAGUGUUCGCCAAGGUAAACUCUUCAUGAUUUCUUCUUUCUGUUAGCUAUUCUCAAGGGCAGC